RNAcentral lists this ribosomal RNA (433 nucleotides) under uncultured bacterium. Its description in RNAcentral is "partial 16S ribosomal RNA". It matches the Rfam family "Bacterial small subunit ribosomal RNA", at positions 29 to 507 of the family's 1533-position model. The record is from RNAcentral.
AACGAACGCUGGCGGCAUGCCUAACACAUGCAAGUCGAACGAGACCUUCGGGUCUAGUGGCGCACGGGUGCGUAACGCGGGGGAACCUGCCCUUAGGUUCGGAAUAACUCCCCGAAAGGGGUGCUAAUACCGGAUAAUGUCUUCGGACCAAAGAUUUAUCGCCUUUGGAUGGGCCCGCGUUGGAUUAGCUAGUUGGUAGGGUAAAAGCCUACCAAGGCCACGAUCCUUAGCUGGUCGGAGAGGAUGAUCAGCCACACUGGGAAUGAGACACGGCCCAGACUCCUACGGGAGGGAGCAGUGGGGAAUAUUGGACAAGGGGCGAAAGCCUGAUCCAGCAAUGCCGGGGGAGUGAUGAAGGGCGUAGGGUUGUAAAGCUCUUUUACACGGGAUGAUAAUGACAGUACCGGGAGAAUAAGCACCGGCUAACUCCGUG